CCAUUUCAGAAAGACUAUUUGAAGUCUUGGUACAUAAAGAAGGAUGAAACAUGCUCAGACUCAAACUUAGACUAAGUAUAUAGUUUAAUUUCUACAAGGCCUCCCUUUUAAGUUUUAGGGAAUUUAAAUGAAGUAUAUACAAAUUAGACAUUGCCAAUAUAUACAAAAGUAUUUUCUACUGUUUUUGAACAAUACCAGCUAUAUUGUUUCAUUUGCAAUAAAGAGGACAUUACAAAAACAGUCCAAUAAUGCAUUUUCUGUUAAGAAGCACAAUACACGAUGUAAUUC
Molecule: long non-coding RNA, 288 nt
Filed under: Bos taurus (domestic cattle)
Lineage: Eukaryota; Metazoa; Chordata; Mammalia; Artiodactyla; Bovidae
Description: long non-coding RNA NONBTAT013603
Source: RNAcentral